GACGAACGCUGGCGGCGUGCUUAACACAUGCAAGUCGAACGGAAAGGCCCUGCUUGCAGGGUACUCGAGUGGCGAACGGGUGAGUAACACGUGGGUGAUCUGCCCUGCACUUCGGGAUAAGCCUGGGAAACUGGGUCUAAUACCGGAUAGGAGCCAUUUUAGUGUGAUGGUUGGAAAGUUUUUCGGUGUAGGAUGAGCUCGCGGCCUAUCAGCUUGUUGGUGGGGUAAUGGCCUACCAAGGCGGCGACGGGUAGCCGGCCUGAGAGGGUGGACGGCCACAUUGGGACUGAGAUACGGCCCAGACUCCUACGGGAGCAGCAGUGGGGAAUAUUGCACAAUGGGCGCAAGCCUGAUGCAGCGACGCCGCGUGGGGGAUGACGGCCU
This 384-nucleotide ribosomal RNA is filed under the name uncultured bacterium. RNAcentral describes it as "bacterial SSU rRNA". It matches the Rfam family "Bacterial small subunit ribosomal RNA", at positions 28 to 417 of the family's 1533-position model. The record is from RNAcentral.